This 265-nucleotide ribosomal RNA is filed under the name uncultured bacterium. RNAcentral describes it as "partial 16S ribosomal RNA". The record is from RNAcentral.
CUGCUGCCUUCCGUAGGAGUUUGGACCGUGUCUCAGUUCCAAUGUGGGGGACCUUCCUCUCAGAACCCCUAUCCAUCGUUGUCUUGGUGGGCCGUUACCCCGCCAACUAACUAAUGGAACGCAUCCCCAUCCCAUACCGAAAUUCUUUAAUAAUCCCAUCAUGCGGUAGGACUAUGACAUCGGGUAUUAAUCUUUCUUUCGAAAGGCUAUCCCCGAGUAUGAGGCAGAUUGGAUACGUGUUACUCACCCGUGCGCCGGUCGCCAU